This 263-nucleotide non-coding RNA is filed under the name Lentilactobacillus parafarraginis. RNAcentral's name for it is "Lactobacillus parafarraginis T-box sequence". It matches the Rfam family "T-box leader". From Rfam's summary of the family: Uncharged tRNA acts as the effector for transcription antitermination of genes in the T-box leader family. T-boxes are found upstream of many aminoacyl-tRNA synthetase genes and some amino acid biosynthetic genes usually in Gram-positive bacteria. The record is from RNAcentral. Lineage: Bacteria; Bacillati; Bacillota; Bacilli; Lactobacillales; Lactobacillaceae.
GAAAAAACGAUGCGUAGAAGAGUAGUUUUCAUGACGACUUGAAGAGAGCUCCGAUUUGGUGAGAUGGAGCAGUUGGAUUGAUGAUGAAAGUAAUCUACAAGUUGUAACGAUGAUUUUCAAUGGUAGUCGUUACUGGGAAUGCGCCCAUUACCGCAAUGGAGUAUCACUUAGAUCUGACCGGUCUCUUCUAAGUCGUACUUUUCGAGCUAAUUAUUGUGAGAUAAUUAGGAAUAAAGGUGGUAACACGUGCAAACGUCCUUAGC